This is a non-coding RNA of Hypoxylon fragiforme, 97 nucleotides long. The record is from the annotation of a RefSeq genome assembly. Lineage: Eukaryota; Fungi; Ascomycota; Sordariomycetes; Xylariales; Hypoxylaceae.
UCCGAAUUGGUGUAGUGGCUAACAUUUGACGCUCUCAAGAUUGGCCUAAAAACCAUGAAGGUCCGUCAAGCCCGGGGUUCGAUUCCCCGAUUCGGAG